GAGAGUCUAGCUUAAAUUGGUAAAGCUUUAAACUUUUAAUUUAAUGAAUUUAGGUUCGAAUCCUAAGACUCUUU
This 74-nucleotide transfer RNA is filed under the name Periphykon beckeri. Its description in RNAcentral is "tRNA-Lys". It matches the Rfam family "tRNA". Rfam says of the family: Transfer RNA (tRNA) molecules are approximately 80 nucleotides in length. Their secondary structure includes four short double-helical elements and three loops (D, anti-codon, and T loops). Lineage: Eukaryota; Rhodophyta; Florideophyceae; Ceramiales; Rhodomelaceae. The record is from RNAcentral.